UACGUAGGGUGCAAGCGUUGUCCGGAAUUACUGGGCGUAAAGCGUGCGCAGGCGGUUGUGCAAGACAGAUGUGAAAUCCCCGGGCUUAACCUGGGAAUUGCAUUUGUGACUGUACGGCUAGAGUGUGUCAGAGGGGGGUAGAAUUCCACGUGUAGCAGUGAAAUGCGUAGAGAUGUGGAGGAAUACCGAUGGCGAAGGCAGCCCCCUGGGAUGACACUGACGCUCAUGCACGAAAGCGUGGGGAGCAAACAGG
Molecule: ribosomal RNA, 253 nt
Filed under: uncultured bacterium
Lineage: Bacteria
Description: partial 16S ribosomal RNA
Rfam family: Bacterial small subunit ribosomal RNA
Source: RNAcentral